GGAAUUUUGCGCAAUGGGGGAAACCCUGACGCAGCAACGCCGCGUGAUUGAAUAAGCCCUUCGGGGUGUAAAGAUCUGUCAGUGGGGACGAAACUUGACGGUACCCACAGAGGAAGCAUCGGCUAACUCCGUGCCAGCAGCCGCGGUAAUACGGGGGAUGCAAGCGUUGUCCGGAAUCAUUGGGCGUAAAGAGUUCGUAGGUGGUUUGUAAAGUCAGGUGUUAAAGGCGUAGGCUCAACUUACGUAUGGCACUUGAUACUUGCAGACUAGAAUGCGGUAGAGGUAAAGGGAAUUCCUGGUGUAGCGGUGAAAUGCGUAGAUAUCAGGAGGAACAUCGGUGGCGUAAGCGCUUUACUGGGCCGUAAUUGACACUGAGGAACGAAAGCCGGGGUAGCAAAUG
RNAcentral lists this ribosomal RNA (400 nucleotides) under uncultured bacterium. RNAcentral's name for it is "bacterial SSU rRNA". It matches the Rfam family "Bacterial small subunit ribosomal RNA", at positions 358 to 774 of the family's 1533-position model. The record is from RNAcentral.